UAUCACAAAGCCAGCACUCAAGU
Molecule: unclassified non-coding RNA, 23 nt
Filed under: Mus musculus (house mouse)
Lineage: Eukaryota; Metazoa; Chordata; Mammalia; Rodentia; Muridae
Description: oocyte_clustered_small_RNA13625
Source: RNAcentral